GGUCGUUUAGCUCAGUGGUAAGAGCGUGUGCUUUACACGCACAAGGUCGCAGGUUCGACCCCUGCAACGAUCA
This is a non-coding RNA of Coniochaeta sp. PMI_546, 73 nucleotides long. NCBI's taxonomy places the organism in Eukaryota, Fungi, Ascomycota, Sordariomycetes, Coniochaetales, Coniochaetaceae. The record is from the annotation of a GenBank genome assembly.